RNAcentral lists this small nuclear RNA (19 nucleotides) under Arabidopsis thaliana (thale cress). RNAcentral describes it as "snRNA_17947". Lineage: Eukaryota; Viridiplantae; Streptophyta; Magnoliopsida; Brassicales; Brassicaceae. The record is from RNAcentral.
CCGGGAAGAGCCCAGCUUG